RNAcentral lists this ribosomal RNA (433 nucleotides) under uncultured bacterium. RNAcentral describes it as "partial 16S ribosomal RNA". It matches the Rfam family "Bacterial small subunit ribosomal RNA", at positions 29 to 507 of the family's 1533-position model. The record is from RNAcentral.
AACGAAGGCUGGCGGCAUGCCUAACACAUGCAAGUCGAACGAGACCUUCGGGUCUAGUGGCGCACGGGUGCGUAACGCGUGGGAACCUGCCCUUAGGUUCGGAAUAACUCCCCGAAAGGGGUGCUAAUACCGGAUAAUGUCUUCGGACCAAAGAUUUAUCGCCUUUGGAUGGGCCCGCGUUGGAUUAGCUAGUUGGUAGGGUAAAAGCCUACCAAGGCGACGAUCCAUAGCUGGUCUGGGAGGAUGGGCAGCCACACUGGGACUGAGACGCGGCCCAGACUGGUGCGGGAGGCGGCAGUGGGGAAUAGUGGACGAGGGGCGGAAGCCUGAUCCAGCAAUGCCGCGUGGGUGAUGAAGGCCUUAGGGUUGUAAAGCUCUUUUACCCGGGAUGAUAAUGACAGUACCGGGAGAAUGAGCGCCGGCUAACUCCGUG